GUUGUGUUUCUCUUUCAGAAGGCACAUGUCCCAGGUUCAGGGUGGAGAGAGGUAUCAGGCAGGGCUGCAGCAUCUCACCUCUUUUAUUCAUUGUAGCCACUGAAUUACUUGCUAUUACUGUCAUAAACUCAAACAUCAAAGGAUUAGACAUAAAUAAUCACAAAUUAAUAAUAAGUCAGCUUGCCGAUGAUACAACAGUCUUUCUAAAAAAAUAAAGAACAAAUUCCAUUGGCCUUAGAUACAAUAAAGAUCUUUUCUGAUGCUUCUGGACUACGCCUGAACCUGGACAAAUGUGAACUCAUGAGUAUCCACAAUUGUUCUCACUCUUCUUUGUAUGAUAUACCUGUCAAAAAUGAAAUCAAAUAUCUUGGAAUCUGGAUAACUAAAUGCAUGGCUGAUAGUGAAGAAAAGAAUAUUCAGAAUACAACUGACAAAUGCAAAAAAACUCUGAACCAUUGGCUACAGAGAGAUUUAACGUUGUUCGGCAGGAUAAUGUUGACCAAGGUUGAAUCUUUGUCCAGAUUAAUCUAUCCAGCUUAUUCCCUAGCCAUCCCACCAAGAAUUAUAAAAGACAUCAAUAAGGUGAAUUUUAAUUUCAUAUGGAAAAAUAAACAUCAUUAUGUUAGUAACAGGGACUUGAUAAAAGAUUAUGAAGAGGGGGGUUUAAAAGCAAUCGAUUUUGAAAUAAUGAAUGGCAUUUUAAAGAUUAAUUGGCUACGAUCUUUCUUGAAAAAUGAUAAUGAGAUCUGGUUCUUGAUACCAUCUCUUAUUUUCAACAAAGUUGGGGGGAUCCAAUUCCUUUUAGUAUGUGAUUUUGAAAUUUCUAAACUACCCAUAAAACUUUCCAAAUUUCAUCAACAAGUUUUGUUAAAUUGGAAAUUAAUGUUUAAACAUAACUUUAGUCCCCACAAUGUUCCAUUGUGGAAUAAUAGGGUGAUAUUGAAUCGGGGGAAAUCUAUGUUUGUGGAAGAAUGGAUGACAAAACAAAUUUGGUCUGUGACACAUAUAAUGGAUGAAAAUGGAGAUAUACUUGAAUUAAACAGGCUUAAUGAGAAAUAUGACAUGAGUUGCUCGUUCGAGCUCUAUAAAAAGGUUUCACAAAAUAUCCCAACAGUCCUUGUAAAUACGGUAAAGAACAAUUUUUCAAAUAUACAGACUCCAAAUUUGCAUAAAGUUAAACUAGAUGGUCUUGAAUUGGUCAAUGGAAAAUGCAAUAAUCAGUUUUUGAGGAGGUAUUUGGUUAACACCUUAUAUCCAGGUAGGACAAAACAUUCACUCGUCUUUAAAGAUUAUAACAAAUCUGAGAUCUCGUUGAUCAGAACCAAAUAUUUAAAAUUUCCAAUUCCCC
Astatotilapia calliptera (eastern happy) is the source of this 1348-nucleotide long non-coding RNA. The record is from Ensembl. NCBI's taxonomy places the organism in Eukaryota, Metazoa, Chordata, Actinopteri, Cichliformes, Cichlidae.